RNAcentral lists this ribosomal RNA (2904 nucleotides) under Escherichia coli. RNAcentral describes it as "23S ribosomal RNA". It matches the Rfam family "Bacterial large subunit ribosomal RNA". The record is from RNAcentral. Lineage: Bacteria; Pseudomonadati; Pseudomonadota; Gammaproteobacteria; Enterobacterales; Enterobacteriaceae.
GGUUAAGCGACUAAGCGUACACGGUGGAUGCCCUGGCAGUCAGAGGCGAUGAAGGACGUGCUAAUCUGCGAUAAGCGUCGGUAAGGUGAUAUGAACCGUUAUAACCGGCGAUUUCCGAAUGGGGAAACCCAGUGUGUUUCGACACACUAUCAUUAACUGAAUCCAUAGGUUAAUGAGGCGAACCGGGGGAACUGAAACAUCUAAGUACCCCGAGGAAAAGAAAUCAACCGAGAUUCCCCCAGUAGCGGCGAGCGAACGGGGAGCAGCCCAGAGCCUGAAUCAGUGUGUGUGUUAGUGGAAGCGUCUGGAAAGGCGCGCGAUACAGGGUGACAGCCCCGUACACAAAAAUGCACAUGCUGUGAGCUCGAUGAGUAGGGCGGGACACGUGGUAUCCUGUCUGAAUAUGGGGGGACCAUCCUCCAAGGCUAAAUACUCCUGACUGACCGAUAGUGAACCAGUACCGUGAGGGAAAGGCGAAAAGAACCCCGGCGAGGGGAGUGAAAAAGAACCUGAAACCGUGUACGUACAAGCAGUGGGAGCACGCUUCGGCGUGUGACUGCGUACCUUUUGUAUAAUGGGUCAGCGACUUAUAUUCUGUAGCAAGGUUAACCGAAUAGGGGAGCCGAAGGGAAACCGAGUCUUAACUGGGCGUUAAGUUGCAGGGUAUAGACCCGAAACCCGGUGAUCUAGCCAUGGGCAGGUUGAAGGUUGGGUAACACUAACUGGAGGACCGAACCGACUAAUGUUGAAAAAUUAGCGGAUGACUUGUGGCUGGGGGUGAAAGGCCAAUCAAACCGGGAGAUAGCUGGUUCUCCCCGAAAGCUAUUUAGGUAGCGCCUCGUGAAUUCAUCUCCGGGGGUAGAGCACUGUUUCGGCAAGGGGGUCAUCCCGACUUACCAACCCGAUGCAAACUGCGAAUACCGGAGAAUGUUAUCACGGGAGACACACGGCGGGUGCUAACGUCCGUCGUGAAGAGGGAAACAACCCAGACCGCCAGCUAAGGUCCCAAAGUCAUGGUUAAGUGGGAAACGAUGUGGGAAGGCCCAGACAGCCAGGAUGUUGGCUUAGAAGCAGCCAUCAUUUAAAGAAAGCGUAAUAGCUCACUGGUCGAGUCGGCCUGCGCGGAAGAUGUAACGGGGCUAAACCAUGCACCGAAGCUGCGGCAGCGACGCUGAUGCGUUGUUGGGUAGGGGAGCGUUCUGUAAGCCUGCGAAGGUGUGCUGUGAGGCAUGCUGGAGGUAUCAGAAGUGCGAAUGCUGACAUAAGUAACGAUAAAGCGGGUGAAAAGCCCGCUCGCCGGAAGACCAAGGGUUCCUGUCCAACGUUAAUCGGGGCAGGGUGAGUCGACCCCUAAGGCGAGGCCGAAAGGCGUAGUCGAUGGGAAACAGGUUAAUAUUCCUGUACUUGGUGUUACUGCGAAGGGGGGACGGAGAAGGCUAUGUUGGCCGGGCGACGGUUGUCCCGGUUUAAGCGUGUAGGCUGGUUUUCCAGGCAAAUCCGGAAAAUCAAGGCUGAGGCGUGAUGACGAGGCACUACGGUGCUGAAGCAACAAAUGCCCUGCUUCCAGGAAAAGCCUCUAAGCAUCAGGUAACAUCAAAUCGUACCCCAAACCGACACAGGUGGUCAGGUAGAGAAUACCAAGGCGCUUGAGAGAACUCGGGUGAAGGAACUAGGCAAAAUGGUGCCGUAACUUCGGGAGAAGGCACGCUGAUAUGUAGGUGAGGUCCCUCGCGGAUGGAGCUGAAAUCAGUCGAAGAUACCAGCUGGCUGCAACUGUUUAUUAAAAACACAGCACUGUGCAAACACGAAAGUGGACGUAUACGGUGUGACGCCUGCCCGGUGCCGGAAGGUUAAUUGAUGGGGUUAGCGCAAGCGAAGCUCUUGAUCGAAGCCCCGGUAAACGGCGGCCGUAACUAUAACGGUCCUAAGGUAGCGAAAUUCCUUGUCGGGUAAGUUCCGACCUGCACGAAUGGCGUAAUGAUGGCCAGGCUGUCUCCACCCGAGACUCAGUGAAAUUGAACUCGCUGUGAAGAUGCAGUGUACCCGCGGCAAGACGGAAAGACCCCGUGAACCUUUACUAUAGCUUGACACUGAACAUUGAGCCUUGAUGUGUAGGAUAGGUGGGAGGCUUUGAAGUGUGGACGCCAGUCUGCAUGGAGCCGACCUUGAAAUACCACCCUUUAAUGUUUGAUGUUCUAACGUUGACCCGUAAUCCGGGUUGCGGACAGUGUCUGGUGGGUAGUUUGACUGGGGCGGUCUCCUCCUAAAGAGUAACGGAGGAGCACGAAGGUUGGCUAAUCCUGGUCGGACAUCAGGAGGUUAGUGCAAUGGCAUAAGCCAGCUUGACUGCGAGCGUGACGGCGCGAGCAGGUGCGAAAGCAGGUCAUAGUGAUCCGGUGGUUCUGAAUGGAAGGGCCAUCGCUCAACGGAUAAAAGGUACUCCGGGGAUAACAGGCUGAUACCGCCCAAGAGUUCAUAUCGACGGCGGUGUUUGGCACCUCGAUGUCGGCUCAUCACAUCCUGGGGCUGAAGUAGGUCCCAAGGGUAUGGCUGUUCGCCAUUUAAAGUGGUACGCGAGCUGGGUUUAGAACGUCGUGAGACAGUUCGGUCCCUAUCUGCCGUGGGCGCUGGAGAACUGAGGGGGGCUGCUCCUAGUACGAGAGGACCGGAGUGGACGCAUCACUGGUGUUCGGGUUGUCAUGCCAAUGGCACUGCCCGGUAGCUAAAUGCGGAAGAGAUAAGUGCUGAAAGCAUCUAAGCACGAAACUUGCCCCGAGAUGAGUUCUCCCUGACUCCUUGAGAGUCCUGAAGGAACGUUGAAGACGACGACGUUGAUAGGCCGGGUGUGUAAGCGCAGCGAUGCGUUGAGCUAACCGGUACUAAUGAACCGUGAGGCUUAACCUU